AGCUCUCCUCCCCAGAUUUGUGAACCUUGUGAUUGUUCAGUGGACACCUCAUGUGUUGCUGGUGGGAAAGUCACAUGUGGAGACAGUUGGGCAAAGCCUUGGGACGUUAAAUGCAGAGUCACUUAUGACCCAGCACUUCCCUCCUAUGCACCUGGUACGCCGCAGAUCAGUGAAACCUACGUCCACACAGAAACGUGUACACAAAUCUCUCCACAGCACUGUUCACAGUAGCCAAAAACUAAAAACUAACCACAUGUCCAUCAGCUGAUGAAUGGAUAAUAAAACGUGGGAAAUCCACACCAGGAGAGAAAAAGGAGUGAGGCACCAGCACAGGCACCACAUGGAUGAACCCGAAACCCAACGCUAAGUGAAGGAAGGCUCCAGCUGUAGGGAGUGUCCCAGACACAGCCAGAGAUUAAAGGGCGCCAGGGCCGGGAGUGGGGGCUGGGGCUGGGGACACGGUGGCCGGGAGUGGGUGGGGUUUGUUUUGGGGAUGAUGAGAAUGUUCUUAGAUUGUGUGUGGUGAUGGCUGCUCACCUCUAUAAACCUUUUACGAAAAACCAUGGACUGGGUGGAUACAGUGUGUGAAUUCUCUCUGAGUCCAGCACUUUGAAAAAGGUGGACGAUGCCAACAUCACUAACCACCAGGGAGACGCAGGCCACGGCCAUGCCCGGCUCACUGGAGUUGUGAGGAUGGAAACACCAGCCCGCCUCCCUCAAUUCAGACCUCAGCGUGGAUGCAAAGAAUGUCUGGGAUGGGGACUGGCAGCUGAUUAGAGACGCAAUCGCUGAACCUAUGGACUGUGUUCAAACAAAUGCUAGCAGAAUGCAAAGGCAACUGUUAUAGGAGGCAGAAAGAAAGGGUUUAGGUAGGGUAAAGCCAGUCUCCGGCAGAAAACUUGCCUUUUAACAAAAAUAGCUCCCUUUCUAACCUCUGAGUUCAAAAUCACUUCUUCUCUAACACCAAGCAGGCUGAAAGAGCAGACCGUAAGUCACAGACGAGACAGCUCGGGCAGAGAAGGAGUCAGCGGGGAGUCUCCUGGGUAAUUGCCAAACUUCACACUUACACAACGGGCCCCAGUAGAACAGUGGGCCCUAAUAAGCACAUUCCCUUUAGGCACUCUAAGAUAGGGAAACUAAAAGCAGACUGUCCGGGGUGCCUGUAGCCCCAAGAAGAUGUCUGGGAACAGACCCAGAGACCUCCCAGAAAAGCGUCACAGAGCAACAGACUAAGAGUCUGAUAGGAACUCUUCUCUAUGCAGAUACCACACCCGGUCCCAGCUAAAUCCUUGGGCCCUGGGAGGACAGGACAUCCCUCCUCUAGCCCCUCAUCACUAGCCCACUUAUGAAAACCUUGACAGGCCGGGCACGGUGGCUCACGCCUGUAAUCUCAGCACUUUGGGAGGUUGAGUCGGGCAGAUCACAAGGUCUGGAGAUCAAGACCAUCCUGGCCAACAUGGUGAAACCCCACCUCUACUAAAAAUACAAAACUUAGCUGAGUGUGGUGGCGUGUACCUCAGGAGGCUGAGGCACGAGAAUCGCUUGAACCCGGGAGGUGGAGGUUGCAGUGGGCCGAGAUCGCGCCACAGCACUCAAGCCUGGGCGACAGGAAAAACCAAACAAACAAAAAAGCCUUGACAUCUUUACUACAACUUGGCAGCCCACUCAGUUCCCCUCUGUGACGGAGAGCUGUUCUUUCCUUUUGCUUAUUAAACGUCUGCUCCAAA
Mandrillus leucophaeus (drill) is the source of this 1727-nucleotide long non-coding RNA. RefSeq lists it as uncharacterized. The transcript has 2 exons. The record is from RefSeq and is a predicted model, not a curated record. Lineage: Eukaryota; Metazoa; Chordata; Mammalia; Primates; Cercopithecidae.